AAAUUGAAGAGUUUGAUCAUGGCUCAGAUUGAACGCUGGCGGCAGGCCUAACACAUGCAAGUCGAACGGUAACAGAAAGAAGCUUGCUUCUUUGCUGACGAGUGGCGGACGGGUGAGUAAUGUCUGGGAAACUGCCCGAUGGAGGGGGAUAACUACUGGAAACGGUAGCUAAUACCGCAUAAUGUCGCAAGACCAAAGAGGGGGACCUUCGGGCCUCUUGCCAUCGGAUGUGCCCAGAUGGGAUUAGCUAGUAGGCGGGGUAA
This 263-nucleotide ribosomal RNA is filed under the name Escherichia coli. RNAcentral describes it as "partial 16S ribosomal RNA". It matches the Rfam family "Bacterial small subunit ribosomal RNA", at positions 1 to 260 of the family's 1533-position model. Lineage: Bacteria; Pseudomonadati; Pseudomonadota; Gammaproteobacteria; Enterobacterales; Enterobacteriaceae. RNAcentral also lists the same sequence under 1 other name. The record is from RNAcentral.